Molecule: long non-coding RNA, 822 nt
Filed under: Monodelphis domestica (gray short-tailed opossum)
Lineage: Eukaryota; Metazoa; Chordata; Mammalia; Didelphimorphia; Didelphidae
Description: lncRNA (ENSMODG00000033656.2)
Source: RNAcentral
AAGGUUCUGAAAAAUAUUAUUAUUAUUAUUGCUUGAAUUCAUCAACAAUCCAGUAAGAAGCCUCUGAAAAUGAAAUCACAAGACUGGAGCCCUGGAAACUGUAGGCUAACAAUGCUACUCAGAAGUAAAAUUUAAGGCUUUUAAAGGGCUUUAGAGCCAUGAUCUAAUUUGAGUCUUACAACACUCCCGGUCAAGCCACUUUCUUCCGAGCCAGCUGGUUCCGCACUAGCUCUACUCCCCCAUUGACGGUCCAGACACCCUUCCUGACGUCGAUGUUGAGUUAGUCUGGACACCCAGCAACACUUCGCUGACUAGCCAGUCACUCUCUCUAACCUAGCUCGAACCCGGAAUCCGAAAUCAUUCCAAACAAACUGCAAACCUGACCUCUUUCCCCGCACUCUGCCCUGCCUGCCCAAACUUUGCCUGCUCUGCGGAUUACCGGCUCCGCGAGAACUCCCUCAUGUGUCCUCCUCCUCCAAGGCAGGAGUAAUCCCUGCUGGCAGCUGCUCCCUUUUCAGUUACCGUUACAUAAAUUUAUGGAAGGAAAGUGAGAUGCCAAAUUUAGAUAAGGCAGAGAUGCUGCCCUCGUGGAGUUUAUCAUCUUGCAAGGGAUACUUUGCAGGAGGAAAUAACCACAGUCAUAAGGGGGCUGGUCCAAGCCCCUAUUCCCCAUGAUGCCUAGUGGAAACAGCUAUCAAAAAAAGGCCCUGUGAAUUCGGGAAAAGUCUUUCAUGAAACAGACACAGCAGAUCUUACUAUCAAAACACUGACCUUGGGAGAAUGGGAAAUAAAUUGACAGGUUUACUGAAGAUAUAUACUAUC